AGGGGUGAGCGUGGUUCCGGGUAGAACCGGGAACCGGAACCGAACCGGAGGAGGUUCCGGUUCGGUUCCCGGUUCUAAGGGGACCGGUUACGGUUCCCAUAGGAACCGGAACCUGAGGAACCGGAACCGGCAAAGUUAAAAAAUAAAAAACCCUAAUUCCUUCCAUGCGAUUUUCCCCCCUUCUGUUCAACUUUCCCCCCUUUCCCUUUCUUUUUCUCUCUCUUUUCUCCACUUUUUCCUCCUCACGUCACUUCCUGCCCCCCACUUUUUUCUUUUCCUCUCUCUCUCUCUCUCUCUCUCUCUCUCUUCUCUUUCCCCCUCUCUCGGCCAAACCCCCCCCCCCCCCACCUCUUCUUCUUCUUCUUCCUUCCUCUCGCCGGUUGCUGCUUCACCCACCACCGCACCGCCACCCCACGCCCUACUCACCACCACCUCUUGGCCACCGAACCCCCACCACCCAC
RNAcentral lists this long non-coding RNA (461 nucleotides) under Eucalyptus grandis. RNAcentral describes it as "long non-coding RNA (EGRA_LNC005964)". Lineage: Eukaryota; Viridiplantae; Streptophyta; Magnoliopsida; Myrtales; Myrtaceae. The record is from RNAcentral.